GGCCAGACUCCUACGGGAGGCAGCAGUGGGGGAUAUUGCACAAUGGGGGAAACCCUGAUGCAGCGACGCCGCGUGGGCGAAGAAGUAUUUCGGUAUGUAAAGCCCUAUCAGCAGGGAAGAAGAAAUGACGGUACCUGAGUAAGAAGCACCGGCUAAAUACGUGCCAGCAGCCGCGGUAAUACGUAUGAUGCAAGCGUUAUCCGGAUUUACUGGGUGUAAAGGGGGCGCAGACGGCGAUGCAAGCCAGGAGUGAAAGCCCGGGGCCCAACCCCGGGACUGCUCUUGGAACUGCGUGGCUGGAGUGCAGGAGGGGCAGGCGGAAUUCCUGGUGUAGCGGUGAAAUGCGUAGAUAUCAGGAGGAACACCGGUGGCGAAGGCGGCCUGCUGGACUGCAACUGACGUUGAGGCCCGAAAGCGUGGGGAGCAAACAGGAUUAGAUACCCGUGUAC
This 449-nucleotide ribosomal RNA is filed under the name uncultured bacterium. RNAcentral's name for it is "bacterial SSU rRNA". It matches the Rfam family "Bacterial small subunit ribosomal RNA", at positions 329 to 793 of the family's 1533-position model. The record is from RNAcentral.